UGGGGAAUUUUGGACAAUGGGCGAAAGCCUGAUCCAGCAAUGCCGCGUGUGUGAAGAAGGCCUUCGGGUUGUAAAGCACUUUUGUCCGGAAAGAAAUCCUUGGCUCUAAUACAGUCGGGGGGAUGACGGUACCGGAAGAAUAAGCACCGGCUAACUACGUGCCAGCAGCCGCGGUAAUACGUAGGGUGCAAGCGUUAAUCGGAAUUACUGGGCGUAAAGCGUGCGCAGGCGGUUUGCUAAGACCGAUGUGAAAUCCCCGGGCUCAACCUGGGAACUGCAUUGGUGACUGGCAGGCUAGAGUAUGGCAGAGGGGGGUAGAAUUCCACGUGUAGCAGUGAAAUGCGUAGAGAUGUGGAGGAAUACCGAUGGCGAAGGCAGCCCCCUGGGCCAAUACUGACGCUCAUGCACGAAAGCGUGGGGAGCAAACAGGAUUAGAUACCCUGGUAGUCCACGCCCUAAACGAUGUCAACUAGUUGUGGGGAUUCAUUUCCUUAGUAACGUAGCUAACGCGUGAAGUUGACCGCCUGGGGAGUACGGUCGCAAGAUUAAAACUUAAAUGAAUUGACGGGGUCAUAGCUG
RNAcentral lists this ribosomal RNA (579 nucleotides) under uncultured bacterium. Its description in RNAcentral is "partial 16S ribosomal RNA". It matches the Rfam family "Bacterial small subunit ribosomal RNA", at positions 355 to 932 of the family's 1533-position model. The record is from RNAcentral.